This 98-nucleotide transfer RNA is filed under the name Oryctes borbonicus. It matches the Rfam family "tRNA". From Rfam's summary of the family: Transfer RNA (tRNA) molecules are approximately 80 nucleotides in length. Their secondary structure includes four short double-helical elements and three loops (D, anti-codon, and T loops). Further hydrogen bonds mediate the characteristic L-shaped molecular structure. tRNAs have two regions of fundamental functional importance: the anti-codon, which is responsible for specific mRNA codon recognition, and the 3' end, to which the tRNAs corresponding amino acid is attached (by aminoacyl-tRNA synthetases). tRNAs cope with the degeneracy of the genetic code in two manners: having more than one tRNA (with a specific anti-codon) for a particular amino acid; and 'wobble' base-pairing, i.e. permitting non-standard base-pairing at the 3rd anti-codon position. Lineage: Eukaryota; Metazoa; Arthropoda; Insecta; Coleoptera; Scarabaeidae. The record is from Rfam by way of RNAcentral.
CCUUCGAUAGCUCAGUUGGUAGAGCGGUGGACUGUAGUGGUUUGUAAGUGUACUGCAUAGAUAUCCAUAGGUCGCUGGUUCAAAUCCGGCUCGAAGGA